Long non-coding RNA from Arachis ipaensis, 490 nucleotides. RefSeq lists it as uncharacterized. NCBI's taxonomy places the organism in Eukaryota, Viridiplantae, Streptophyta, Magnoliopsida, Fabales, Fabaceae. The record is from RefSeq and is a predicted model, not a curated record.
UAUUAUGUUUCAUUUCCAAUUAUAUUUUUCAUAAUCUAUCUGCCUUAUGUUUCGCACACAGAUUCUAAAGUUAAAAACCAUGUUGAAGCAAUCACCAAGUAGCAGAAAUCAAAGGACUAAAAGCUUCAAGUCGCAAAGCUUGGAAGAAAAGUUUUGAAUCCGUACGAACUGAUCGAUGAUACAGAAGAGAGCAAACCCCAAAGACUUGAAGAGGAAGAACAUGAGGAAGUAGAAGACCUCAUUGACGAAGAAGAUAAAGAGAAGGAGGAGGAAAUCCAAGAUGAAGAAGAAAUCAUUGAAAAACAAAACUUGUUGCAAGAUCAAGGUCAAAGUCAAAGAGAAAAAAACACAGGUGUUUAAUGUUACCUGUGGAAAUAGAAUACUCUUCUUUUUCAAAUUCAUGGAUUAUUACUAAAACAGAACAUGCUGUGCUUAGCUCUAAUCAUUCUAGAAAUGGAUUAAAUUCUAAUUCUUUACUUCAUUGACAAGG